RNAcentral lists this signal recognition particle RNA (221 nucleotides) under human gut metagenome. RNAcentral's name for it is "Bacterial large signal recognition particle RNA". It matches the Rfam family "Bacterial large signal recognition particle RNA", at positions 4 to 219 of the family's 256-position model. Rfam says of the family: The signal recognition particle (SRP) is a universally conserved ribonucleoprotein involved in the co-translational targeting of proteins to membranes. Archaeal SRP consists of a 7S RNA and homologues of the eukaryotic SRP19 and SRP54 proteins. The record is from RNAcentral.
UACAAGCCGGGGAAUUAGCGGAGCCCUGUACCUGAAAUCCGCUACAGCAGGGGUGUAUUCCUCGUUUGAGGGUCAAACAAAUAUGGUCUUGAGCCGUAUCUCCUGCGUUGAAGAGCUGGUCUUGCGCAAUUGGGAACUGUGAACCAUGUCAGGUGGGGAACCAAGCAGCAUUAAGCAGUGCCCCCGAUGUGCCGUGAGGGCGCCUGCUCCGAGCAGGGGGU